This 303-nucleotide ribosomal RNA is filed under the name uncultured bacterium. RNAcentral's name for it is "partial 16S ribosomal RNA". It matches the Rfam family "Bacterial small subunit ribosomal RNA", at positions 507 to 807 of the family's 1533-position model. The record is from RNAcentral.
AGCAGUAGCCGCGGGAAUACGAAGGGUGCAAGCGUUACUCGGAAUUACUGGGCGUAAAGCGUGCGUAGGUGGUGGUUUAAGUCCGUUGUGAAAGCCCUGGGCUCAACCUGGGAAUUGCAGUGGAUACUGGGUCACUAGAGUGUGGUAGAGGAUAGUGGAAUUUCCGGUGUAGCAGUGAAAUGCGUAGAGAUCGGAAGGAACAUCUGUGGCGAAGGCGACUAUCUGGGCCAACACUGACACUGAGGCACGAAAGCGUGGGGAGCAAACAGGAUUAGAGACCCCGGUAGUCCCUGUCUCUUAUAC